AACGAACGCUGGCGGCAUGCCUAACACAUGCAAGUCGAACGAGACCCUCGGGUCUAGUGGCGCACGGGUGCGUAACGCGUGGGAACCUGCCCUUAGGUUCGGAAUAACUCCCCGAAAGGGGUGCUAAUACCGGAUAAUGUCUUCCGACCAAAGAUUUAUCGCCUUUGGAUGGGCCCGCGUUGUAUUAGCUAGUUGUUAGGGUAAAAGCCUACCAAGGCGACGAUCCAUAGCUGGUCUGAGAGGAUGAUCAGCCACACUGGGACUGAGACACGGCCCAGACUCCUACGGGAGGCAGCAGUGGGGAAUAUUGGACAAUGGGCGGAAGGCUGAACCAGCAAUGCCGGGUGAGUGAAGAAGGCCUUAGGGUUGUAAAGCUCUUUUACCCGGGAUGAUAAUGACAGUACCGGGAGAAUGAGCUCCGGCUAACUCCGUG
Molecule: ribosomal RNA, 433 nt
Filed under: uncultured bacterium
Lineage: Bacteria
Description: partial 16S ribosomal RNA
Rfam family: Bacterial small subunit ribosomal RNA
Source: RNAcentral